GGAAAGUCUCCACAGGGUCUUUGAAGAUUAAGUAUUGUGUGAUGAAGAAAUCAAGGGUCAAAAUAACCCUACUACCUGCCUGACAUUUUAAGUCUAGAGGGCAUGACGCUUUCAAAGAUCAAUCAGGCAGCCCUGAGCUGCUUAAGAGACCUUUCUGCCUGUAGCUCUGACAAAACCUGUUUUCUUGGAUGCUGCUUCCACCCGCUCUCCAUCCCUUCCUGCUCUAACAGAAGGGAUCUUUUCCCUGACUAGUCUUGCUCCUCCUUCAAACCCCAGCUGUCCUGGUCUCUGGCUGGAAGCCUUCUGUGAACACCAGCCUGGGUGGGAGCCCCUUUCUCUGCCUCAUAGCAGCAGAGGACGGCGGGGUCUGCCUAGCACAUGGCAGGGUGCAGUGCCUGUCUGAAUGUGUGAAGAGUUCUUAGUGAUGGGUAAAGGGUGUUCCUGUGUGUUUUAGAUUCUGCUCAGCAAUCCUCAGAUGUGGUGGUUAAAUGAUUCCAAUCCUGAAACCGACAACCGUCAAGAAAGUCCUUCCCAGGAAAACAUUGACCAAGUGAGUGGCAGGCCUUUGUGCCCUCAGCUUGGACAGCCUCGGGUGGGGUUGCUUGGGGUAACCCGGGUGAAUCAGGCAGCAGGACUGGGGGAGUCCAUGCUGAAACCUUGGCUCCCAGGCUCCAGGUGUAACCUGCCCACCUCAGAGGCCACCCACGCAGUAACAGAGGGCAGGGGAGGCCUCCUUGGAAAGCAGGAAAACUGGGGAAGUGUCAGGAAGUUCUUUUUAGGUUUGCCGCCUUUGUCUAUGCACCACUGUUUGCAUCAGCCCCAUUUCUCUGCCUGUGACCUAAAAGGAUGGCACUGUGACCUGUGAAACCCAUCCAGCUUUGUAUCCCAAGUGACAGCUCUGUCCACAUUUGUCCCCCUACACGCGUUAGCAUGCCUGUAUGCUGUGGCCACUGACCUCGCGGUGCUCGUGGUGAGGCUGGUGUGGCGCCCUGCUCUCAGCCCGAGGUCACUGCCUGUCCUGAGAUGGCUGCUCCCUGAUGCACCUGACUCGAGUCUUCCAAGCCCCCUUCCAGGUUGCUCCACGCUCACAUUGCACAGAAGCAUGACUUGUGCACAAAGGGCCAUGGUGCGCACGCCGGGAGCUCUUAAACAUGAGAGUCGGCUGUCCGCCCGUGUGGGUGAUGGGGGUGGCAGAAGAGGCGCCAGGGGCCGAUGCUGUGACCCCUGCACUCUCCCCUAGUUGGUGUACAUGGGUUUUGAUGCACUUGUGGCCGAAGCUGCGCUGAGAGUGUUCAGAGGCAACGUCCAGCUGGCCGCCCAGACCCUUGCUCACAACGGAGGAAGCCUGCCUCCCGAGCUGCCGCUGUCGCCAGAAGACUCUUUGUCCCCGCCAGCCACAUCCCCUUCUGACUCCGCAGGGAACCUCUAGUGCCUCAACAGACGAAGACAUGGAGACAGAGGCCGUCAAUGAGAUACUGGAAGACAUUCCAGAGCAUGAGGAAGACUAUCUUGACUCAACUCUGGAAGACGAAGAAAUUAUUAUUGCAGAGUACCUAUCCUAUGUAGAAAACAGGAAGUCAGCAACAAAGAAAAACUAAAUAAUGAACAGAAAUAGCGCUAAUUUUCUGCUUAUAAAUGCUAUCAUUAUGAAAAGGCUAAUGCAGCUCUUUCUGUUCUUACCUUUUAUCUGAAUUGCAAGUCCUCUUUGGGUGUAGGAGGGGGUGGGCAGGGGACAAGUCCAGGAGGGGUCCCAGGGCCUUCAUGCGUGGUCUCGGGGAAGAAGCUUCCUCUGGCCUGGCGCAGGCCGUUCCAUCUGCCUCCCAGGUCUGCGUCCCUAACCCCUUCCCCAGCUUGGUGUUUUACCCCGAAACAGGAAGGAACAGGGGUCCUGUGGAACAGGGGUCCUGGGGAAGGUGUCCAGGGCAGGGUCCUGGGAAGGGUGUCCCGACCACUUCCUCUCCAGCUGUGGCUCCAUCUGCCCAGCUUGCCUACCUCCUGCACCCACUGCCCAUGACCUUCCUGCUUCCCACGCUGCCAUCUCUGCCAGGGUGCCCCAUGGGUUCCUGUGCCACCCUUUCCCCGCCCCUCAAAUCGUCCUUUAAGUAAGUCUUCCUUCCAAGUGCUGUGGGGCAUAACGAUGAGGCACUGGCCUUGGGGGCCACACCAGGUCGCAGCAAAUGCCUUCAGCCUGGGACGCCAGUGUUUUAUGCUCUUAGUUCAGUAAAAUACGCCCCCAAAAUUCAAGAUUGAGUGUCAGGCUUUAUAUAUAUUCAGCAUUCCUCAUUACAGAAAUCUUUUAUUGAAUGGGAAAGGUUUAAAUGCUAACCAAAGCAAUUUAUUUUUAAUUAAUAUUUUUAGACUGUGCUGUCAUACUGAACUCACUGCUAGCUAAGAGACCUAUCAGAGAUUUAGAUAUAUUUUCUCCAGGUUUUUUGUGGGGUUUUUUUUUGUUGUUGUUGUUCCAGCCAUGUGACAGAGGCUCUUUCUAAAAGUAUGUAGUUCGCUGUGUGUCGGCUCCAGCAGUAACCGUCCUCACUGCGCCACGCACUCCUCUGUAGAUGUGUGCCCAGUGGGAGUUCCUUCCAGCCCCAGGACCGCAGCAGCAGCCAGGUGCCGAGUGGAUUGAGUGCCAGGUGUAUCCAAGACUUUCCCUCCCUUCCAGAAGGCACUGGCUGAAGACAGGAUGGAUCAUGCGGAGCCGGCUGAAAUGCUCCAACUUUUUCAAAGUGUGGGUGGUCCAGUUUGGACUGAUGGGAAUCUUCUUGUCAUUCUUUUUAAACGGAUGAUACCGAUGGAAAUAAAAGGUGGGAA
This 2811-nucleotide long non-coding RNA is filed under the name Pan troglodytes (chimpanzee). RNAcentral's name for it is "long non-coding RNA NONPTRT015955". The record is from RNAcentral. Lineage: Eukaryota; Metazoa; Chordata; Mammalia; Primates; Hominidae.